UCGCGGCUUAUCACCGGCAGUCCCCUUAGAGUGCCCAACUAAAUGAUGGCAACUAAGGGCGAGGGUUGCGCUCGUUGCGGGACUUAACCCAACAUCUCACGACACGAGCUGACGACAGCCAUGCAGCACCUGUGUUCAGAUUCCCGAAGGCACAGCCUAAUCUCUUAGGUCUUCCUGACAUGUCAAGAGCAGGUAAGGUUCUUCGCGUUGCAUCGAAUUAAUCCACAUCAUCCACCGCUUGUGCGGGUCCCCGUCAAUUCCUUUGAGUUUUAAUCUUGCGACCGUACUCCCCAGGCGGUUUACUUCUCGCGUUAGCUUCGCUACUUAGGUUUUACCCCCAACAGCAAGUAAACAUCGUUUAGGGCGUGGACUAC
RNAcentral lists this unclassified non-coding RNA (374 nucleotides) under uncultured Gammaproteobacteria bacterium. RNAcentral describes it as "contains 16S-23S intergenic spacer region". Lineage: Bacteria; Pseudomonadati; Pseudomonadota; Gammaproteobacteria. The record is from RNAcentral.